RNAcentral lists this ribosomal RNA (631 nucleotides) under uncultured Vibrio sp. Its description in RNAcentral is "bacterial SSU rRNA". It matches the Rfam family "Bacterial small subunit ribosomal RNA", at positions 61 to 671 of the family's 1533-position model. The record is from RNAcentral. Lineage: Bacteria; Pseudomonadati; Pseudomonadota; Gammaproteobacteria; Vibrionales; Vibrionaceae.
GUCGAGCGGAACGAGUUAUCUGAACCUUCGGGGAACGAUAACGGCGUCGAGCGGCGGACGGGUGAGUAAUGCCUAGGAAAUUGCCUUGAUGUGGGGGAUAACCAUUGGAAACGAUGGCUAAUACCGCAUAAUGCCUACGGGCCAAAGAGGGGGACCUUCGGGCCUCUCGCGUCAAGAUAUGCCUAGGUGGGAUUAGCUAGUUGGUGAGGUAAUGGCUCACCAAGGCGACGAUCCCUAGCUGGUCUGAGAGGAUGAUCAGCCACACUGGAACUGAGACACGGUCCAGACUCCUACGGGAGGCAGCAGUGGGGAAUAUUGCACAAUGGGCGAAAGCCUGAUGCAGCCAUGCCGCGUGUAUGAAGAAGGCCUUCGGGUUGUAAAGUACUUUCAGUUGUGAGGAAGGGGGUGUCGUUAAUAGCGGCAUCUCUUGACGUUAGCAACAGAAGAAGCACCGGCUAACUCCGUGCCAGCAGCCGCGGUAAUACGGAGGGUGCGAGCGUUAAUCGGAAUUACUGGGCGUAAAGCGCAUGCAGGUGGUUCAUUAAGUCAGAUGUGAAAGCCCGGGGCUCAACCUCGGAACUGCAUUUGAAACUGGUGAACUAGAGUACUGUAGAGGGGGGGUAGAAUUAUC